Molecule: non-coding RNA, 30 nt
Filed under: Mus musculus (house mouse)
Lineage: Eukaryota; Metazoa; Chordata; Mammalia; Rodentia; Muridae
Source: RNAcentral
UGAAAAAAAACAAUGUCACAUGGAUGAUGC